GUCCCCGUUGCCGGGUGUUGUUUUGCGUCCCUCCUGACGACGCCCCGCCUGGCCGCGGAUGAUGGGGGUGGUUGUCCCCUCGUUUCCAGGAGCGGCUUCGCCCCGGACGGGGAGGUGAGCCAGCAGCGCCCGUUGGCCAGGACCUCCUGCGGACCCUCUGGCUCCCCCCCGCUCGGCUCUGGCGGCAGAGGAUCCGCCCAGGCGCUCUGCACGUGCUCAGAGGCGCCCUCGCCCGCCGUGCAGAGACCCUCCUCCCGCGCCGCUAUGGGGAUCGUCAAGCUGGCCGAGGUGAUCAAGGAGGAGGCUCCGGACGCCGUGCGCCCCGCCAGCCUUCAGGACUACCGCGCUGGCGAAACGGGCCGCCUCCUCUGGAUCCAGGUGGGCCCCCGCAGAGUCCAGUGGUCCGGCACGGCCUCCAAGGCGAGACUCGGAGAGGCUUCUGACCCUCCUGGGUGUUCCUUACGUCCAGG
This is a non-coding RNA of Thamnophis sirtalis, 470 nucleotides long. Lineage: Eukaryota; Metazoa; Chordata; Lepidosauria; Squamata; Natricidae. The record is from RefSeq and is a predicted model, not a curated record.